GUCCAGGGCUAGGAGCCUCAGCCGGCGGACGCCAGGAAACAGCCAAGAACUGAACCAAAAUACAAACAACAUAAACUACCACUUGAUGAGAAGAACUUCAAAGUCAAAUUGCAAAAGGUGACUAAAAAAGGGGAGUACUUUCAGCCGUUUUCAAAAUAAUCUAUGAUAUGUACUGGAAAACUUCUAAUAAUCCUUGUCAUUUUACAACUUUCCCACAGUUAGAUCAUCAGCAAAUGUCACUUGGAUCCCUAGCUAAAUUGUUCUUCCCAGAAAAUAGUUAUCUCCACUAUGGAAAGUAUUUUAUCAGAAGAAUUCGUAGAAGUAGAAUCUGUUUGUCUUCAGUUAAACAAAAGAAGAACCUCAUUGCUUUCCAACUGGGCCCCGGCCAUUUUCCAGUUGAAACAUCAAAUAUUUUAUUUGUGUCUUUCACUGCCAAUUAAAGGGCAACAGAAAUGGUACAGGUAAAUCAUCUUCUCUUUGGAGGUCUUUCCAAAGAAGACUUUAAUUCAAGCAUUUCCUAGAGUAUGUACCAUAAAGUCUUAUCUGCAGAUUUAGACUUGAAUAUGCAUUACAUCAUUGGAAAAUAUUAUGUCACUGAAAUUGGAAAAGGUUGAGUUAAACAAAACUAAACUAUUAACUGUAUUACAAGAUCUCUGAGAUUUUGGUUUGGUAGCUUCCAGGGGCGUCUUACGUAGUGAUGCUGUUUAGGGGCAUCUAGAGAUCAGGAACAACACUUGUUCUGCUGAUACAGAUUUGGGAAUGAAAUCUGAAAAGGCAUGAAAUAGACUGGUAGAAGGGAAAAAAUGUUAAGAAAAGAGCAUUCAUAUUUUAUUCUAGGUAACAGCUUGAUAAGUUGAUACAGAGGGAGGAGAAUAAUAAAAAGAACACAAGCAAAUAUUUAGAGAAGUAUCAGUGAAUUAUAAGGUUUUUAUGUGAUUUUUCUAGGGUCUUUGUUGAUUUGUCAAAGAAAAUCAAGAAAAAUAGCAUACACUUUCUUCUUUAAACCCCUUUUGUGUAUAUGCUUUUGUGUCUGUGUGUAUAAAAUAUGUUUAUAAAUACAUUAAACUAUUUUUACUAAUUAA
Long non-coding RNA from Homo sapiens (human), 1082 nucleotides. Ensembl annotates it as long intergenic non-protein coding RNA 879. Lineage: Eukaryota; Metazoa; Chordata; Mammalia; Primates; Hominidae. The record is from Ensembl.